Molecule: ribosomal RNA, 449 nt
Filed under: uncultured bacterium
Lineage: Bacteria
Description: partial 16S ribosomal RNA
Rfam family: Bacterial small subunit ribosomal RNA
Source: RNAcentral
AUUGAACGCUGGCGGCAUGCCUAACACAUGCAAGUCGAACGAUGCUUUCGGGCAUAGUGGCGCACGGGUGCGUAACGCGUGGGAAUCUGCCCUUGGGUUCGGAAUAACAGCGAGAAAUUGCUGCUAAUACCGGAUGAUGACGUAAGUCCAAAGAUUUAUCGCCCAGGGAUGAGCCCGCGUAGGAUUAGCUAGUUGGUGGGGUAAAGGCCCACCAAGGCGACGAUCCUUAGCUGGUCUGAGAGGAUGAUCAGCCACACUGGGACUGAGACACGGCCCAGACUCCUACGGGAGGCAGCAGUGGGGAAUAUUGGACAAUGGGGGCAACCCUGAUCCAGCCAUGCCGCGUGAGUGAUGACGGCCUUAGGGUUGUAAAGCUCUUUUACCCGGGACGAUAAUGACGGUACCGGGUGAAUAAGCCCCGGCUAACUUCGUGCCAGCAGCCGCCGUAA